Molecule: transfer RNA, 72 nt
Filed under: Bos taurus (domestic cattle)
Lineage: Eukaryota; Metazoa; Chordata; Mammalia; Artiodactyla; Bovidae
Also listed under: 1 other name
Rfam family: tRNA
About the family: Transfer RNA (tRNA) molecules are approximately 80 nucleotides in length. Their secondary structure includes four short double-helical elements and three loops (D, anti-codon, and T loops).
Source: Rfam by way of RNAcentral
UCCCCUGUAGCUAAGCCAGUAAAGAGUCUGCCUGCAAUUCAGGAGACCCAGGUUCGUUUCCUGGGUUGGGAA